CCCACCUGGGCCCCCUGUGAUUGGCUGCACCUGGCAAAAAGGCUUAACAAAUUCUGACUGUAGGCACUCGAUAUCCAUGUUCUUCAGUCUGCCACCUUCCCAUUACAUUUGAUAAAUUACUUCUUUGGAGGCAGGACAUUUUCUCAAAGAAGCUCUGAUUGACAACAUUCCGUGCUGGAAGUACCUGGCCACCACAAACAAG
RNAcentral lists this long non-coding RNA (202 nucleotides) under Dasypus novemcinctus (nine-banded armadillo). Its description in RNAcentral is "lncRNA (ENSDNOG00000052594.1)". The record is from RNAcentral. Lineage: Eukaryota; Metazoa; Chordata; Mammalia; Cingulata; Dasypodidae.